GGCAUGUAGCUCAGUGAUAGAGCACUUGCCUAGAAAGUGCAAGCCCUGGGUUCAAUCCCUAGCACUGUCA
RNAcentral lists this transfer RNA (70 nucleotides) under Heterocephalus glaber (naked mole-rat). It matches the Rfam family "tRNA". From Rfam's summary of the family: Transfer RNA (tRNA) molecules are approximately 80 nucleotides in length. Lineage: Eukaryota; Metazoa; Chordata; Mammalia; Rodentia; Bathyergidae. The record is from Rfam by way of RNAcentral.